RNAcentral lists this ribosomal RNA (249 nucleotides) under Salmonella enterica. RNAcentral describes it as "partial 16S ribosomal RNA". It matches the Rfam family "Bacterial small subunit ribosomal RNA", at positions 1 to 246 of the family's 1533-position model. The record is from RNAcentral. Lineage: Bacteria; Pseudomonadati; Pseudomonadota; Gammaproteobacteria; Enterobacterales; Enterobacteriaceae. RNAcentral also lists the same sequence under 1 other name.
AAAUUGAAGAGUUUGAUCAUGGCUCAGAUUGAACGCUGGCGGCAGGCCUAACACAUGCAAGUCGAACGGUAACAGGAAGCAGCUUGCUGCUUCGCUGACGAGUGGCGGACGGGUGAGUAAUGUCUGGGAAACUGCCUGAUGGAGGGGGAUAACUACUGGAAACGGUGGCUAAUACCGCAUAACGUUGCAAGACCAAAGAGGGGGACCUUCGGGCCUCUUGCCAUCAGAUGUGCCCAGAUGGGAUUAGCU